RNAcentral lists this ribosomal RNA (497 nucleotides) under uncultured bacterium. RNAcentral describes it as "partial 16S ribosomal RNA". It matches the Rfam family "Bacterial small subunit ribosomal RNA", at positions 28 to 507 of the family's 1533-position model. The record is from RNAcentral.
GAUGAACGCUGGCGGCGUGCCUAAUACAUGCCAGUCGAGCGAACAGACGAGGAGCUUGCUCCUUUGACGUUAGCGGCGGACGGGUGAGUAACACGUAGGUAACCUACCUAUAAGACUGGGAUAACUUCGGGAAACCGGAGCUAAUACCGGAUAAUAUUUCGAACCGCAUGGUUCGAUAGUGAAAGAUGGCUUUGCUAUCACUUAUAGAUGGACCUGCGCCGUAUUAGCUAGUUGGUAAGGUAACGGCUUACCAAGGCAACGAUACGUAGCCGACCUGAGAGGGUGAUCGGCCACACUGGAACUGAGACACGGUCCAGACUCCUACGGGAGGCAGCAGUAGGGAAUCUGACGCAAUGGGCGAAAGCCUGACGGAGCAACGCCGCGUGAGUGAUGAAGGUCUUCGGAUCGUAAAACUCUGUUAUUAGGGAAGAACAAACGUGUAAGUAACUGUGCACGUCUUGACGGUACCUAAUCAGAAAGCCACGGCUAACUACGUG